Molecule: ribosomal RNA, 499 nt
Filed under: Crocidura somalica
Lineage: Eukaryota; Metazoa; Chordata; Mammalia; Eulipotyphla; Soricidae
Description: partial 16S ribosomal RNA
Rfam family: Bacterial large subunit ribosomal RNA
Source: RNAcentral
ACGGCCGCGGUAUCCUGACCGUGCAAAGGUAGCAUAAUCAUUUGUUCCUUAAUUAGGGACUUGUAUGAAUGGCCCCACGAGGGUUUAACUGUCUCUUACUUUUAAUCAGUGAAAUUGACCUUCCCGUGAAGAGGCGGGAAUACAAAAAUAAGACGAGAAGACCCUAUGGAGCUUAAAUUAACAUGUUCAACAGAAUUUAAUUAUAAUCCAACAGGAAUAAAAAUAUUUUAACUGAACAAUAAAUUUUGGUUGGGGUGACCUCGGAGUAUAACAUAACCUCCGAGCAAUUAAACCAAGACUUACCAGUCAAGGCCAUACAACUUAUUGAUCCAAUCUUAUUGAUCAACGAAACAAGUUACCCUAGGGAUAACAGCGCAAUCCUAUUUAAGAGUUCAUAUCGACAAUAGGGUUUACGACCUCGAUGUUGGAUCAGGACACCCAAAUGGUGCAGCAGCUAUUAAAGGUUCGUUUGUUCAACGAUUAAAGUCCUACGUGAUCU